Molecule: ribosomal RNA, 524 nt
Filed under: uncultured Moraxella sp.
Lineage: Bacteria; Pseudomonadati; Pseudomonadota; Gammaproteobacteria; Moraxellales; Moraxellaceae
Description: bacterial SSU rRNA
Rfam family: Bacterial small subunit ribosomal RNA
Source: RNAcentral
AAGCUUGCUUCUGAUACUUAGUGGCGGACGGGUGAGUAAUGCUUAGGAAUCUGCCUAGUAGUGGGGGAUAACUUGGGGAAACCCAAGCUAAUACCGCAUACGACCUACGGGUGAAAGGGGGCUUUUAGCUCUCGCUAUUAGAUGAGCCUAAGUCGGAUUAGCUGGUUGGUGGGGUAAAGGCCUACCAAGGCGACGAUCUGUAGCUGGUCUGAGAGGAUGAUCAGCCACACUGGGACUGAGACACGGCCCAGACUCCUACGGGAGGCAGCAGUGGGGAAUAUUGGACAAUGGGCGAAAGCCUGAUCCAGCCAUGCCGCGUGUGUGAAGAAGGCCUUUUGGUUAUAAAGCACUUUAAGUGGGGAGGAAAAGCUUAUGGUUAAUACCCAUAAGCCCUGACGUUACCCACAGAAUAAGCACCGGCUAACUCUGUGCCAGCAGCCGCGGUAAUACAGAGGGUGCAAGCGUUAAUCGGAAUUACUGGGCGUAAAGCGCGCGUAGGUGGUUAUUUAAGUCAGAUGUGAAAG